AGCAGAGCGGGGUCGUGGCCAACCUCUGCUAACGAGCUCAUCCCACCGCAAAAAGCAAGAACAGGGAGGCAUUUGCUUCUCAUUCCAGACAGUAAGAGUCACAUUUCUGAAUGAUUUACUCCUGGGGAUGAGGGCUCGAUGCAAAUGAGCACAAAGGAAGUUGUCAGCAGCAUCGUGCUCUGGCCAAUGGAAGGAAAGCUCCAUCUUAGCUGUGCCAUAGGCUGCACUAAAAAAAGGGACCAGAACGGCGCUCUCUCAGCAUCCUUUCACACAAGAGCUCCCAAAUCUGUGCCAGUGAGCAUACCCAAGCCAAGCAGGUCCUCAAGGAUGGCAACCCUCAACAGCACCCACUGGAAUGAAACUACUACAUCCAUCUCCCAGUAUCUGGGCUUCCAAGUGCAAAAAAUUUACCCUUUCCAUGACAACUGGAACACUGCCUGCUUUGUCAUCCUGAUCAUAUUCAUCUUCACUGUAGUUUCUCUGGUGGUGCUGGCUUUCCUGUAUGAACUGCUGGACUGCUGCUGCUGUGUGAAAAACAAAACUGUGAAGGACUUGGAGAACGAGCCCAAUCCUGUCAGAGCAAUGCUGAACAGCUUCAGGAAGCGAGACACAGAGGUGGUGUAGGAAGAACUGAGCAACUGCACUUGGAGAACUUGGUUUGACAUUUGACACCUGGAAUGAAGCCUCCUUAGCUUACAAACGAGCAAGUUGUGUGCUUUUUUCUUUUGGAUUUAAAUAUCCACAGUGGCAAUUUUAUCUCUGGAUGUGAGCUGGAAUAAUUGGCAAAGGUUUUCCAAGUGCUCAGCAGAAAGACAAUCUACUGCAGUGUUAUGGGAGGGAAAAAGAUUGUUGUUUUUAGAUGAACUGUUGCUGUUUAUAUUGAGUGACUAGCAUAGAAUUUUGUCUACCUGACGGAACAAAUGCUGCCUAACAUGCAUAAAACUGUUGCUUCACUGAAGAAAACAUUUAUAAAAUGUCCAACAGUCUGAUCACAUUCCGUGCAAAGACAGCAGUGUUGUCCCACCGAGUCAACCACACAGGGACAGGACAGACAGACAAGGGGCUGAGCAUGACUAAGCUCCAGAAGAUCUGAACACAGUGAAAGACUUGCUAAUUGACACUCUCCAUUGGGGAGAUGGAAUCACAAAACACCCAGGGCAGGAUGAACUAGCACAGCUAGUCCAGUGAUUCACCUGGAGAAACAAACUCCCUCCUGCAGCCACAAAUCCCCAUAGACACACUUCUUCAAGCCCAAAAUCAAAAGCACAACUGAUGGAAGCCACUGCCCUGAGCACAAGAUCAUUUAGGACUCACACUGAGAUGGAUGACGGAGAUAAUGCCAGUGGUGAUAAGGAUGACAUGCCACCUUCUGCUGUGUGACAGCGUCAGACUGGGAAGCCCUGCUCAAGAGGCCAGAGUAGCCAUCAGGAUGCACUGAAUUAAAUCCUGGCUCUCUCCUAAAAGGAAAGGCUCUGGACACUUGCAGCAUUCCCACAGUGCCCAUCAAGCUGCACACAAGAGGGCAGUGUGUGCAGCACGCCAGCCUCUGCUGCUCUGGCAAUGCCUUCCUGAGAAGCACAUGGAGUGACAUAUGUUGGGACUCAUCCCAGCUUUUUAUUUCACAGGUCUGCAAAGGGGAAUGGGGGUGGGCACAAGGAGCAGAAGGCAAAGGUGGCCCCUUGCACAGUACCAGAGAAGACUCAGGAUGAUUCUUUUCCACAAAACAGCCCCUGAAGAUUCUGGCUCUUGACAACUGUCAGCAGAGACCACUGAGACAAAGGUCUUAAGACAAAGACCACAGCCACAAUUUACUAUUGAUUAAUAAAAUGAAACAAACAGA
RNA transcript from Melospiza georgiana, 1840 nucleotides. It is a transcript of the gene named small integral membrane protein 18, with no coding region annotated. The record is from RefSeq and is a predicted model, not a curated record. The transcript has 3 exons. Lineage: Eukaryota; Metazoa; Chordata; Aves; Passeriformes; Passerellidae.